UACGGAAGGCAGCAGUGGGGAAUAUUGCACAAUGGGCGCAAGCCUGAUGCAGCCAUGCCGCGUGUAUGAAGAAGGCCUUCGGGUUGUAAAGUACUUUCAGUCGUGAGGAAGGUGUUAAGGUUAAUAACCUUAGCAAUUGACGUUAGCGACAGAAGAAGCACCGGCUAACUCCGUGCCAGCAGCCGCGGUAAUACGGAGGGUGCGAGCGUUAAUCGGAAUUACUGGGCGUAAAGGGCACGCAGGCGGUUAAUUAAGUUGGAUGUGAAAUCCCCGGGCUAACCUGGGAAUGGCAUUCAAGACUGGUUAGCUAGAGUCUUGUAGAGGGGGUAGAAUUCCAUGUGUAGCGGUGAAAUGCGUAGAGAUGUGGAGGAAUACCGGGUGGCGAAGGCGGCCCCUGGGACAAAGACUGACGCUCAUGUGCGAAAGCGUGGGGAGCAAACAGGAUUAGAUACC
Molecule: ribosomal RNA, 453 nt
Filed under: uncultured bacterium
Lineage: Bacteria
Description: bacterial SSU rRNA
Rfam family: Bacterial small subunit ribosomal RNA
Source: RNAcentral